Mustela lutreola (European mink) is the source of this 1088-nucleotide long non-coding RNA. RefSeq lists it as uncharacterized. The record is from RefSeq and is a predicted model, not a curated record. The transcript has 2 exons. NCBI's taxonomy places the organism in Eukaryota, Metazoa, Chordata, Mammalia, Carnivora, Mustelidae.
GUGGCCCAGGUGCUGUCGGGGGUCCCUGGGAAGUUGCGGCAAAACUCAGGCCAGGUCACGAGGGUCGGAUGAAAGGGGUCGCGGCGACAGAGCACCACGAUGCUGGGAGUGAAGUGAAUAGAGCUGAGGGGGGGGUCAGGAAAGCCUGGAUAAAAGUCAUCCGGCUGGGACUUCCUGUGGUCGAGGUCUAAUAUCUGAGGGAAACGGACUUUUACUUCUGGGUUACGCACAUCCCGCCCCACCAUCGUGUGACUAGGAUGAAGGAAAUUGUGCCCUGCGACUUUCCGUACCGGGGCUUGCAUCCGUUCUCUCUUCCCUUCUCAAUUAGGCGCGACACUUGAGCCGGAAGCACAACCUUUUUAACGGUUCUUUGCUCUUCUCGGAGGGCGGUCGGCCCGUGGUGGCCUCGGAGACUCUUGAGACGGCCAGCCACAACCCCUUUCUUACUUGAGCGCCUCCACAAAUAACUCGGCUUUGGUCUUCCCUCUCGCAUUACUUUCGGAUGACGCGUGAGAACGUGUUCCGGAGGGUAGAAAGCUGUGCAAAUUAUCGGGCUGCUUUUAAGGAUCCCCAGGGACCCGCAGUUUUGCCGCGUCAAACCCCUAUGUUCGCAGCAAUUUAAUUCACAGACCAGCCAGAAUCUUGAAGGUAGAGGAAAACAGGGAACAGCAUUCCAAGUAGGAAGUCCAGUUCAUCAAUUGCCCUGAGACAGGACAGGAGCAGAAGGAAGACCGGCAAGAAGAAAGAGGGCCAUUGCACGCGCACUUACUGGAGAGCGGAUGGCCUGAGCUGUGCAUGGAGAGGGGACUGGCUUCAGGGGCCUCCUAGUUGAGAAGAUGACCAGCAUUUUCUGAAGUCCACCUCCCUACCUCCAUCCACAAGGAUGUGCACUGCCCAUCGCUCCCCAGGGACAGCCACCUCUUCAGCUCACCAAGCUCUUAUGAAGUGACUGGUGAGCCCAUCCCUCAUUCUCUGAGGCAGUAUGGAGAUGGGGACAAACAAGGCCCAGAAGGCAAGGUCGGGGCAAAGCCAUUGCCCUCUUUAAAUUCCGUUUCUUCAUCAGUAAAAUAAUAAAGAAUUGCACAAGA